UCCUCAUUUCUUGAGCGCAAACAUCAGUAUGACUCAAGCCCAUAAACAUAAUUAUUGUCGUGUCUCUCAUGUCUUUGUAGUCUGUGAUCAGUGUUGCGAUAGAGUAGGUCAUGUCACUAGAAUCAGGAAGUAAGGGCAUGUUUCAGCACAGUGUUGAAAGAGAACGCUGCUUGUUCUAUUCUCUCCUGCAGUUCGGCAAAACAAUUACCUACAUUUUGUGUUAUACAAGGCAUCGUUGCAGGUUUCUUAGACUAAAAAAGCUCCUGUACGGGCAGAGAGAAAGAAGAAACCUCGUUGCACCUGCCUCAGUGAACUCAAAGAUGCUGUUGAGAUGAGCCAAAAACACUGUGGCUGUCUUAUAUCCUGCACCUGUGACCGUUGGGCAGCAGCCAUGCGCCUGAUGUUUGACAAGACAAGACGCCCACUGUGACUCAGUAAAAGAAACCAUUGAUGGUUAGUAGGUCAACAACAUUUGAGUGUUUACGUAUGGAAUACAAAUGAUGAAGAGGAUCUUGUUGUGCUGAUAAACUGUGUUGGAAAAGGUUAGUUGACAGCCGUAUUCACUCCUUGUACUCCUUGGCUUUGUGUCGACCUGCCACAUAUAUUUCACAGUUGGAGUAGGAGGUGUUUCUGAAGUACAAUUUAAACUAAUGUCUGCUUCUGUCUGAUUCAUGGACUCCGAGGGAACUAUUCAUACCAGGCAACAAAAAUAAGACAGGAGUGUUUCCAGGAUUGCCCAAUUUAGCGCUAAGGUCUUUCAGGAUACCGCAGUGAUCAUCAAAGUACACUUCUCCAAAAUUACGGUUUAAGGUUUGAAGUCAAUGGAUGAAUGUGAGACUGAAAAAGAUUGUGAAGACGACAACUAUACAGCUGGCUAUGGCUAAAAACAGGUAAUUGCGAUCUUUCAUCUAGCAGCCGGAAAAAAAGACCAAAACACACAUUAAAAAGAUGUUUAUCAAGGAAAAUAAGUGGACACCGUCCCAGCAUGCGUGAUUCAGGGUUUACCUAAUCUAAAGCAGUGGAAAUUGUAUUGCUCGGCACAUAUGUGGCCUAGAGGUGCACUGCUUUUCCAUUUUCUGAGGAUACAAUAACAACCACCAGAUGAGGCAUAUGACAUGAGUGGCAAAAGGAAAUCUAAGAGGAAGCAAAGUUUUUUCGACCAAGUAGAUGCCUAAUCCAAAAUAACUACCUCAGUCCUCUUCCCUAAUCUCGUUCCAAACCAGCCUAUACUUUCUGCUGCCAAAACCCUUGUGUUUAAUGGGAACAUCCGUUACUGCAAUGUGUUAAAAGCCUUUGUGUGCUGGUCGCUUUCAUGGUACUUUGCUCCUGAACAGCUUCGACUGCCCACACAGGAAGGGAUACAGUAUUGUAUAUCACUGGCUGCCAAACAGGAAAUAUGGACACUUCAGAGCGUUGAUAAAGGCUUAGCUCUACGUUUUCCUGUUGACACAACAGCUUUAAGCUCACACGACUCCCAAUUCUAUCUUAAAUUACAAUCAAAAAUCCUUUUUGGUGAGGUUGUUUCGAGAGAUAAUAAUGCAUGAGUUAUGUCCAAGUCUAAGAACACGAUUAAGGACAGCUUCUUUCACCAGUUGAUACUGCAGUAUUUGUCUCAAGGUAAUAAAGAAACUAUUUGUUUUAUGCAAGUAGAGUAAAAUCCCUCCAUUGCGGGUUCUGCGGUUCACAGUCCCAGUAUUUCACAAAUUAGUUUGAGAAGUGAUGUCAAUAUUAUACUUUUACCAAUUGCCAGCAUUUUAAAUUUAAAUCCUGCCCACUAUGAAACAAUGCCCAUAUUUACUGAUUCAGCCUCAAUCUCGUUUCAUCAGCCAUGGACUAGAAGUUGUGUUUUAUCAGGAGAGAGAGGAGCUGUUGGCCUUGCUGGUCACUUUGAUGUUUUCCUUGACUGUACGGAAUGUAAUGUUAGCUGAGUGGGAUUACAAGGGUCGUACAAAAACUGCCUUGAUGGAGCCAUCCAGGUAAAGAAAAGAAGAAACGUAGCCAGUCGGCAACUGCCCAUAACCAUGUCUGUAAAAUAAAUAACUGAAAAAUUGUUUUAAAAAUACCUAGGUCCUUUAAAGGGGUGGUUCUCAGAAAGUGUGGUCUAAGUUGAUGGUCAAAUGCAGACUCAUUUUGAGUUUUUUUGCCUUUACAACGAAUCACCAGAUCUAAUUGUUUACAAUAUUGCAGACAUAAUGCAGAGAAAAAAUAAAAAAAAACUUGACUGAG
This is a long non-coding RNA of Syngnathus typhle (broad-nosed pipefish), 2226 nucleotides long. RefSeq lists it as uncharacterized. The transcript has 2 exons. The record is from RefSeq and is a predicted model, not a curated record. Lineage: Eukaryota; Metazoa; Chordata; Actinopteri; Syngnathiformes; Syngnathidae.